Molecule: ribosomal RNA, 2929 nt
Filed under: Escherichia coli
Lineage: Bacteria; Pseudomonadati; Pseudomonadota; Gammaproteobacteria; Enterobacterales; Enterobacteriaceae
Description: 23S ribosomal RNA
Rfam family: Bacterial large subunit ribosomal RNA
Source: RNAcentral
GGGUUGUGAGGUUAAGCGACUAAGCGUACACGGUGGAUGCCCUGGCAGUCAGAGGCGAUGAAGGACGUGCUAAUCUGCGAUAAGCGUCGGUAAGGUGAUAUGAACCGUUAUAACCGGCGAUUUCCGAAUGGGGAAACCCAGUGUGUUUCGACACACUAUCAUUAACUGAAUCCAUAGGUUAAUGAGGCGAACCGGGGGAACUGAAACAUCUAAGUACCCCGAGGAAAAGAAAUCAACCGAGAUUCCCCCAGUAGCGGCGAGCGAACGGGGAGCAGCCCAGAGCCUGAAUCAGUGUGUGUGUUAGUGGAAGCGUCUGGAAAGGCGCGCGAUACAGGGUGACAGCCCCGUACACAAAAAUGCACAUGCUGUGAGCUCGAUGAGUAGGGCGGGACACGUGGUAUCCUGUCUGAAUAUGGGGGGACCAUCCUCCAAGGCUAAAUACUCCUGACUGACCGAUAGUGAACCAGUACCGUGAGGGAAAGGCGAAAAGAACCCCGGCGAGGGGAGUGAAAAAGAACCUGAAACCGUGUACGUACAAGCAGUGGGAGCACGCUUAGGCGUGUGACUGCGUACCUUUUGUAUAAUGGGUCAGCGACUUAUAUUCUGUAGCAAGGUUAACCGAAUAGGGGAGCCGAAGGGAAACCGAGUCUUAACUGGGCGUUAAGUUGCAGGGUAUAGACCCGAAACCCGGUGAUUCAGCCAUGGGCAGGUUGAAGGUUGGGUAACACUAACUGGAGGACCGAACCGACUAAUGUUGAAAAAUUAGCGGAUGACUUGUGGCUGGGGGUGAAAGGCCAAUCAAACCGGGAGAUAGCUGGUUCUCCCCGAAAGCUAUUUAGGUAGCGCCUCGUGAAUUCAUCUCCGGGGGUAGAGCACUGUUUCGGCAAGGGGUCAUCCUGACUUACCAACCCGAUGCAAACUGCGAAUACCGGAGAAUGUUAUCACGGGAGACACACGGCGGGUGCUAACGUCCGUCGUGAAGAGGGAAACAACCCAGACCGCCAGCUAAGGUCCCAAAGUCAUGGUUAAGUGGGAAACGAUGUGGGAAGGCCCAGACAGCCAGGAUGUUGGCUUAGAAGCAGCCAUCAUUUAAAGAAAGCGUAAUAGCUCACUGGUCGAGUCGGCCUGCGCGGAAGAUGUAACGGGGCUAAACCAUGCACCGAAGCUGCGGCAGCGACGCUUAUGCGUUGUUGGGUAGGGGAGCGUUCUGUAAGCCUGCGAAGGUGUGCUGUGAGGCAUGCUGGAGGUAUCAGAAGUGCGAAUGCUGACAUAAGUAACGAUAAAGCGGGUGAAAAGCCCGCUCGCCGGAAGACCAAGGGUUCCUGUCCAACGUUAAUCGGGGCAGGGUGAGUCGACCCCUAAGGCGAGGCCGAAAGGCGUAGUCGAUGGGAAACAGGUUAAUAUUCCUGUACUUGGUGUUACUGCGAAGGGGGGACGGAGAAGGCUAUGUUGGCCGGGCGACGGUUGUCCCGGUUUAAGCGUGUAGGCUGGUUUUCCAGGCAAAUCCGGAAAAUCAAGGCUGAGGCGUGAUGACGAGGCACUACGGUGCUGAAGCAACAAAUGCCCUGCUUCCAGGAAAAGCCUCUAAGCAUCAGGUAACAUCAAAUCGUACCCCAAACCGACACAGGUGGUCAGGUAGAGAAUACCAAGGCGCUUGAGAGAACUCGGGUGAAGGAACUAGGCAAAAUGGUGCCGUAACUUCGGGAGAAGGCACGCUGAUAUGUAGGUGAAGCGACUUGCUCGUGGAGCUGAAAUCAGUCGAAGAUACCAGCUGGCUGCAACUGUUUAUUAAAAACACAGCACUGUGCAAACACGAAAGUGGACGUAUACGGUGUGACGCCUGCCCGGUGCCGGAAGGUUAAUUGAUGGGGUUAGCGCAAGCGAAGCUCUUGAUCGAAGCCCCGGUAAACGGCGGCCGUAACUAUAACGGUCCUAAGGUAGCGAAAUUCCUUGUCGGGUAAGUUCCGACCUGCACGAAUGGCGUAAUGAUGGCCAGGCUGUCUCCACCCGAGACUCAGUGAAAUUGAACUCGCUGUGAAGAUGCAGUGUACCCGCGGCAAGACGGAAAGACCCCGUGAACCUUUACUAUAGCUUGACACUGAACAUUGAGCCUUGAUGUGUAGGAUAGGUGGGAGGCUUAGAAGUGUGGACGCCAGUCUGCAUGGAGCCGACCUUGAAAUACCACCCUUUAAUGUUUGAUGUUCUAACGUUGACCCGUAAUCCGGGUUGCGGACAGUGUCUGGUGGGUAGUUUGACUGGGGCGGUCUCCUCCUAAAGAGUAACGGAGGAGCACGAAGGUUGGCUAAUCCUGGUCGGACAUCAGGAGGUUAGUGCAAUGGCAUAAGCCAGCUUGACUGCGAGCGUGACGGCGCGAGCAGGUGCGAAAGCAGGUCAUAGUGAUCCGGUGGUUCUGAAUGGAAGGGCCAUCGCUCAACGGAUAAAAGGUACUCCGGGGAUAACAGGCUGAUACCGCCCAAGAGUUCAUAUCGACGGCGGUGUUUGGCACCUCGAUGUCGGCUCAUCACAUCCUGGGGCUGAAGUAGGUCCCAAGGGUAUGGCUGUUCGCCAUUUAAAGUGGUACGCGAGCUGGGUUUAGAACGUCGUGAGACAGUUCGGUCCCUAUCUGCCGUGGGCGCUGGAGAACUGAGGGGGGCUGCUCCUAGUACGAGAGGACCGGAGUGGACGCAUCACUGGUGUUCGGGUUGUCAUGCCAAUGGCACUGCCCGGUAGCUAAAUGCGGAAGAGAUAAGUGCUGAAAGCAUCUAAGCACGAAACUUGCCCCGAGAUGAGUUCUCCCUGACCCUUUAAGGGUCCUGAAGGAACGUUGAAGACGACGACGUUGAUAGGCCGGGUGUGUAAGCGCAGCGAUGCGUUGAGCUAACCGGUACUAAUGAACCGUGAGGCUUAACCUUACAACGCCGAAGCUGUU